GAAAGAAUAGACCGGGACGGGCUGUCCACCACGGGCAAACCGCUCACGGGAGGCGACGACAAAGAAAGCGCUCUCGCGCUCAGCCCAGCGGGACCGGCCCUGCCCGCCGGCCGUGCGCCCUCCCCGCGUCGGGAGCCGGGAUCCCUGAGCCGUCAGGGACACCACUCGAGCGGAGACGGCCGUGAGGCGGAAAGGGGGGCGCGCACCCCGAUGGGAGCGGACAGGAGGCAGGCCCCCCACUCCAUGGCCCCGCGGCCCCGGACAGCCGUUACCCGACUUCCGCCCGCGUCCUCCCGGUGGCCGACUUCCGGUGCGCUGCGUGACGUCAUUGCGGCCGGCUUCCGGCGCGCUGACUUGUGCUCGGCGCUGUCAUGUGUCGCUGGCGACAGGAGGCUGUCGGGCGGCCUGGGCAUCCGAGGCCAUCGCGGGUACCCGGCGGCGCUCGCUCCCUGCUAAGGCCAGGGGAGGAUCGGCCGUGGGGGCAGCGCCGCGGGGAUGGAGUCGCGGCCGGGGGCGGCGUCCCGGCGGCGGCUGACCGCGUGUCCUCCUCGCGGCGCUGCCUCGGGGAAGUGACGCCGCUCACGCCGCUGCUCCCCGGCCGACGGCGCCCGCCACCCCGCUUUCACCGGAAGCCCUUGCGGAAUCCGCCGAGUGUGCCCGGGGGUCUCGGCCCGCCGUUCCGGAGACUGAUCGCAGCUGGGGAGUACUUGCCGGGAAGACUGGCAGGAGGGCAGCUCUGGGUGCUCAGGAGACACACCUUUGGCAAGUGGCUACUGUUGGAGACCAUGCAGCUCACAGAACGUUCACAUCUACAGAAGUUAUUGUGGAUUUGGGGGUGUUUGCUGUGUUCACGCUCGCUGCAGAUUUUAUUUUAUUGUCCUUAAAAACCUUGCAAAAGUUGGAAAUGAAGUUUAGGGGGAGUGGUAAAGGGGGAGCCUCGGGGAAUCAUGAGUGGAAAACAGUGCCAGACGAGCCCGGUGGGAUGGAUGGAUGGAUGGAUGGAUGGAUGGGAUAUCACAAGUUGUAGGAAAAAAAUGGUGAAAUUCUGCAGUGGGGCUGCUGGAGGGUGAAGCCAGCGUGUGCUCAUCUUAAAGGAGGGCAUUCCUGUUGGUCUUUGUUCUUCCCCCAGUUCAAAUCCUUGGGGACCCCUGAGAGGUGGUCUUGGGUCCGAUAUGGAACAGGGGCCCACGUCCAGGGUUGCCCAGCCAGAAACUGGCAGAUCGCGAUUGCACACCAGGUCUCUCCCACCCUACUUACUGUCUGCCCUUUUCCAGAUGCCAGACCCAGAGGGAGGAGUGGAAUCUGGAAGCAGGUUGAGGCUUUCAGCAGACUUGGGAUCUGCCUCUUCAGUCCACGUGCGGACGCUGACCACACCGGCCUCGAGGACACACUCAGUCUCAUGUUUCUGCAGUCCUGUGAGCAAGGCGUUGACUGAACUCUGGCCCAUCUUCAGAUGUUCGAAUAGCAGCCAGCCUUGGGACAUAGAAGGGAGUGCCUCCCUCUGGGGCAGAGAGCAGCAUGCUUGAAACUGGCGGGCCACCUUGUCACCCUGCCCAGCACAUGACAGUACUGUCCGCAGUCCCCCAGUGUGUCAGCCACCGCAAUCCCAAGAUGCAAGAGCCCUGAGAGAUGGCCUCGUCGGUGGCUGCCAAGCUGUUCCUGGAAUCUGCAGUGGUUUGGAUGCCGCUGCGCUGUCUGCUUCCAAAACAAGGCUCGUCGCUGUCAUUGUGACCCCGGCCCCUCUGACAGCUCCUGUGUGGGAAGAUGGGGAUAGUUAAUAAAAUCUUUUCAGUGUG
RNA transcript from Panthera uncia (snow leopard), 1796 nucleotides. RefSeq lists it as uncharacterized. The record is from RefSeq and is a predicted model, not a curated record. Lineage: Eukaryota; Metazoa; Chordata; Mammalia; Carnivora; Felidae. The transcript has 5 exons.